RNAcentral lists this ribosomal RNA (440 nucleotides) under uncultured bacterium. Its description in RNAcentral is "partial 16S ribosomal RNA". It matches the Rfam family "Bacterial small subunit ribosomal RNA", at positions 338 to 795 of the family's 1533-position model. The record is from RNAcentral.
CCUACGGGAGGCUGCAGUGGGGAAUAUUGCACAAUGGGGGAAACCCUGAUGCAGCGACGCCGCGUGAGUGAAGAAGUAUUUCGGUACGUAAAGCUCUAUCAGCAGGGAAGAAAAUGACGGUACCUGACUAAGAAGCCCCGGCUAACUACGUGCCAGCAGCCGCGGUAAUACGUAGGGGGCAAGCGUUAUCCGGAUUUCCUGGGUGUAAAGGGAGCGUAGACGGCAGCGCAAGUCUGGAGUGAAAUCCCAUGGCUUAACCAUGGAACUGCUUUGGAAACUGUGCAGCGAGAGUGCAGGAGAGGUAAGCGGAAUUCCUAGUGUAGCGGUGAAAUGCGUAGAUAUUAGGAGGAACACCAGUGGCGAAGGCGGCUUACUGGACUGUAACUGACGUUGAGGCUCGAAAGCGUGGGGAGCAAACAGGAUUAGAUACCCUAGUAGUC